GAUCCAUGAUGAAAAUAGCCUAAUCUGAGCAUCAGAAAAGACCCCUUAGUCUACCUGAUGCAUGAUCUCUAUAGUUCUGAGA
Small nucleolar RNA from Bison bison bison, 82 nucleotides. The record is from Ensembl. NCBI's taxonomy places the organism in Eukaryota, Metazoa, Chordata, Mammalia, Artiodactyla, Bovidae.